UACGAAGGGGGCUAGCGUUGCUCGGAAUCACUGGGCGUAAAGCGCACGUAGGCGGAUCGUUAAGUCAGGGGUGAAAUCCUGGAGCUCAACUCCAGAACUGCCUUUGAUACUGGCGAUCUUGAGUUCGGGAGAGGUGAGUGGAACUGCGAGUGUAGAGGUGAAAUUCGUAGAUAUUCGCAAGAACACCGGUGGCGAAGGCGGCUCACUGGCCCGAUACUGACGCUGAGGUGCGAAAGCGUGGGGAGCAAACAGG
Molecule: ribosomal RNA, 253 nt
Filed under: uncultured bacterium
Lineage: Bacteria
Description: partial 16S ribosomal RNA
Rfam family: Bacterial small subunit ribosomal RNA
Source: RNAcentral